AUCUGCAAAAGGAAGAGUAUAUAAUGCAGAUUACCCUAUUCACUAUGAUACAGAAAUGAUCGCCCAGCAGAGCACCAGGCGGUGGCAGAGCGUUCAGAUGUGAUGUAUGAAGAGUCCUUUCUGGCAGAGCUUUGGGCACAAACAUUCGAAUGGAUUCCUUGAUGAUUGCACCGCGACUCCCCAUUUUCCAAUAAUCUACACUAUACUCUGGGCAUUGACAAAGAUGUCCCAGUUCAGGAAUCAUUACCAACCUCUGUCCUAUGUGAUACCGGCUGGGACUAUCCUGCUAACCCACCUGGUUAUACCGCAUCCCUCUGCUCAGAGACCCCCAAAGUACCGAAGCUGAUCCAGUUUACCGGAUGCAGCCGCAGCUCCCACGUCCACUACAGAGCGGCCGUCUGCACUAAGAGAUUGCAAACCCAGUGGAGCAGCCGCUAGGCAUUAAUCCCGGUUUAUUUUCUGUGACUUCAGUAAAGUCAGCCCUGAUCUCCAGCCCAAGAUGUCCGUGUGCUCCAUACCUUCUGUCCUGCAUGAUGACUCUGUGGACUUCACAAGUCGUUCAAUCCUCUGUCUAUCCGAUGCCAUUCUCCGUCUGUAACAUUCACCUGCUCUGGAAAGCCGAGCCUCAGCGUGGUCAGGUCUUGUCUGAAGAUGAGAAGGAGCCGGCCGCUCGUAAUCUCUUUAGGAAUGGAAACAAAACCACAUUAACAGCAGUGCGGCUGGACCCGGAGCAGA
Long non-coding RNA from Spea bombifrons (plains spadefoot toad), 735 nucleotides. RefSeq lists it as uncharacterized. The transcript has 4 exons. The record is from RefSeq and is a predicted model, not a curated record. NCBI's taxonomy places the organism in Eukaryota, Metazoa, Chordata, Amphibia, Anura, Pelobatidae.